UAGUCCUAGCCGUAAACGAUACUCGCUAGGUGUCGGCCACGGUGCGACCGUUGUCGGUGCCGUAGGGAAGCCGUGAAGCGAGCCACCUGGGAAGUACGGCCGCAAGGCUGAAACUUAAAGGAAUUGGCAGGGGAGCACCACAACGGGUGGAGCUUGCGGUUUAAUUGGAUUCAACGCCGGAAAUCUUACCGGGACCGACAGCAAUAUGAAGGCCAGGCUGAAGACUUUGCCGGAUUAGCUGAGAGGUGGUGCAUGGCCGUCGUCAGUUCGUACUGUGAAGCAUCCUGUUAAGUCAGGCAACGAGCGAGACCCACGCCCACAGUUGCCAGCGUACUCUCUGGAGUGACGGGUACACUGUGGGGACCGCCGCUGCUAAAGCGGAGGAAGGAAUGGGCAACGGUAGGUCAGUAUGCCCCGAAUAUCCCGGGCUACACGCGAGCUACAAUGGUUGGUACAAUGGGUAUCUACCCCGAAAGGGGACGGGAAUCUCCUAAAACCAAUCUUAGUUCGGAUUGAGGGCUGCAACUCGCCCUCAUGAAGCUGGAAUCCGUAGUAAUCGCGUUUCAACAGAACGCGGUGAAUACGUCCCUGCUCCUUGCACACACCGCCCGUCAAACCACCCGAGUAGGGUCUGAAUGAGAGCGCUUUCUUUGGAGGCGUUCGAAUUUGGGCUUUGCAAGGGGGGUU
Molecule: ribosomal RNA, 687 nt
Filed under: archaeon enrichment culture clone A1492H84
Lineage: Archaea
Description: bacterial SSU rRNA
Rfam family: Archaeal small subunit ribosomal RNA
Source: RNAcentral